CCUACGGGGGGCAGCAGUGGGGAAUCUUCCGCAAUGGGCGCAAGCCUGACGGAGCAAUGCCGCGUGAACGAAGAAGGUCUUCGGAUUGUAAAGCUCUUUCGGACGUGACGAUGAUGACGGUAGCGUCUAAAGAAGCACCGGCAAACUUCGUGCCAGCAGCCGCGGUAAUACGAAGGGUGCGAGCGUUGUUCGGAAUUACUGGGCGUAAAGGGAGUGUAGGCGGAUAUGUAAGAUAGCGGUGAAAUGCCGGGGCUCAACCCCGGAACUGCCAUUAUGACUAUGUAUCUAGAGUAAUGGAGAGGAUAGCGGAAUACCCAGUGUAGAGGUGAAAUUCGUAGAUAUUGGGUAGAACACCGGUGGCGAAGGCGGCUAUCUGGCCAUUUACUGACGCUGAGGCUCGAAAGCAUGGGGAUCAAACAGGAUUAGAUACCCUUGUAGUC
This 440-nucleotide ribosomal RNA is filed under the name uncultured bacterium. RNAcentral describes it as "partial 16S ribosomal RNA". It matches the Rfam family "Bacterial small subunit ribosomal RNA", at positions 338 to 795 of the family's 1533-position model. The record is from RNAcentral.